This 915-nucleotide ribosomal RNA is filed under the name uncultured marine archaeon. RNAcentral's name for it is "bacterial SSU rRNA". It matches the Rfam family "Archaeal small subunit ribosomal RNA", at positions 1 to 921 of the family's 1478-position model. The record is from RNAcentral.
UUCCGGUUGAUCCCGCCGGAGGCUACCGCUAUUGGAGUUCGAUUAAGCCAUGCGAGUCGCGAGAAAUUAGAUUCUCGGCGUACCGCUCAGUAACACGUGGGUAACCUGCCCUAUGCUGGAUAAUAACCUCGGGAAACUGAGAAUAAUGAUCCAUAGUUCACUACGCCUGGAACGGUGAGUGGAUGAAAGCUCCGGCGGCAUAGGAUGGGCCUGCGGCGUAUCAGGUUGUAGGGGGUGUAACGUACCCUCUAGCCCUCUACGCGUACGGGUGUUGGGAGACAUAGCCCGGAGAUGGAUUCUGAGACACGAAUCCAGACCCUACGGGGUGCAGCAGGCGCGAAAACUUGGCAAUGCGAGAAAUCGUGACCAGGGAACUCCAAGUGCAUGGGGUAAGACCCAUGCUUUUCUUGACUCUAAAUAGGUCUUGGAAUAAGGGGUGGGUAAGGACGGUGCCAGCCGCCGCGGUAAUACCGGCGCCUCAAGUGGUAGUCGCUUUUAUUGGGCCUAAAACGUCCGUAGCCGGUCUGAUACAUUCGUGGGUAAAUCAACCAGCUUAACUGGUUGAAUUCUGCGAGGACGGUCAGACUUGGGACCGGGAGAGGUGUGGGGUACGCUCAGGGUAGGGGUAAAAUCCUGUCAUCCUGAGCGGACCACCUGUUGCGAAGGCGCCACACUAGAACGGAUCCGACGGUCAGGGACGAAGCCUAGGGGCACGAACCGGAUUAGAUACCCGGGUAGUCCUAGGUGUAAACGCUGUGGACUUGAUGUUGGGGGUGCUCCGAGCACUCUCAGUGUCGAAGCGAAGGUGAUAAGUCCACUGCCUGGGAAGUAUGGUCGCAAGGCUGAAACUUAAAGGAAUUGGCGGGGGAGCACCGCAACCUGAGGAUUGUGCGGUUUAAUUGGAUUCAACGCCGG